UACGGAGGAUGCGAGCGUUAUCCGGAUUUAUUGGGUUUAAAGGGUGCGUAGGCGGGCUUUUAAGUCAGCGGUAAAAAUUCGGGGCUCAACCCCGUCCGGCCGUUGAAACUGGGGGCCUUGAGUGGGCGAGAAGAAGGCGGAAUGCGUGGUGUAGCGGUGAAAUGCAUAUAUAUCACGCAGAACCCCGAUUGCGAAGGCAGCCUUCCGGCGCCCUACUGACGCUGAGGCACGAAAGUGCGGGGAUCGAACAGG
This 252-nucleotide ribosomal RNA is filed under the name uncultured bacterium. Its description in RNAcentral is "partial 16S ribosomal RNA". It matches the Rfam family "Bacterial small subunit ribosomal RNA", at positions 524 to 776 of the family's 1533-position model. The record is from RNAcentral.